AGCCAUAAAACACAGGUUCCCGUACGAUCACCGAAGUAAAGCAACAUCGAGCCUGGUCAGUAACUAGAUGGGUAACUGCUUGGGAAUACCAGGUGAUGUAAG
This 102-nucleotide ribosomal RNA is filed under the name Acanthosepion pharaonis. The record is from RNAcentral. Lineage: Eukaryota; Metazoa; Mollusca; Cephalopoda; Sepiida; Sepiidae.